This 492-nucleotide ribosomal RNA is filed under the name uncultured bacterium. RNAcentral's name for it is "partial 16S ribosomal RNA". It matches the Rfam family "Bacterial small subunit ribosomal RNA", at positions 29 to 507 of the family's 1533-position model. The record is from RNAcentral.
AGUGAACGCUGGCGGUAGGCCUAACACAUGCAAGUCGAACGGCGGCACAGUAAGAGCUUGCUCUUACGGGUGGCGAGUGGCGGACGGGUGAGGAAUACAUCGGAAUCUACUUUUUCGUGGGGGAUAACGUAGGGAAACUUACGCUAAUACCGCAUACGACAUACGGGUGAAAGCAGGGGAUCUUCGGACCUUGCUCGAUUGAAUGAGCCGAUGUGGGAUUAGUUAGUUGGGGGGGUAAAGGCCCACCAAGGCGACGAUCCGUAGCUGGUCUGAGAGGAUGAUCGGCCACACUGGAACUGAGACACGGUCCAGACUCCUACGGGAGGCAGCAGUGGGGAAUAUUGGACAAUGGGCGCAAGCCUGAUCCAGCCAUACCGCGUGGGUGAAGAAGGCCUUCGGGUUGUAAAGCCCUUUUGUUGGGAAAGAAAAGCAGCAGGUUAAUACCCCGCUGUUCUGACGGUACCCAAAGAAUAAGCACCGGCUAACUUCGUG